AGAGUUUGAUCAUGGCUCAGAUUGAACGCUGGCGGCAAGCCUAACACAUGCAAGUCGAGCGGCAGCGAAAGAAAGCUUGCUUUCUUGUCGGCGCGCGGCAAACGGGUGAGUAAUAUCUGGGGAUCUGCCCGAAAGAGGGGGACAACCAUUGGAAACGAUGGCUAAUACCGCAUAAUGUUUAUUAUAUUUUGUAAACCAAAAUGGGGGACUUAUUUAUAAGCCUCAUGUUUUCGGAUGAACCCAGAUGAGAUAGCUUGAUGGUAAGGUAAAAGCUUACCAUGGCAACGAUCUCUAGCUGGUCUGAGACGAUAACCAGCCACACUGGAACUGAGAUACGGUCCAGACUCCUACGGGAGGCAGCAGUCGGGAAUCUUGCACAAUGGGCGAAAGCCUGAUGCAGCUAUGCCGCGUGUAUGAAGAAGGCCUUAGGGUUGUAAAGUACUUUCAGCGGGGAGGAAAAAGAAAUGAUUAAUACUUAUUUCUCUUGACGUUACCCGAAGAAGAAGCACCGGCUAACCCGUGCCAGCAGCCGCGGUAAUACGGAGGGUGCUAGCGUUAAUCAGAAUUACUGGGCGUAAAGAGCUUGUAGGCGGUUUUUUAAGUCAGAUCUGAAAUCCCUGGGCUCAACCUAGGAACUGCAUUUGAAACUGAAAUUCUAGAGGAUCGUAGAGGGAGGUAGAAUUCUAGGUGUAGCGGUGAAAUGCGUAGAUAUCUGGAGGAAUACCCUUGGCGAAAGCGGCCUCCUAAACGAAUACUGACGCUGAGAUGCGAAAGCGUGGGGAGCAAACAGGGUUAGAUACCCUGGUAGUCCAUGCCGUAAACGAUGUCGACUUGGAGGUUGUUUCCUUGAGAAAUGACUUCCGUAGCUAACGCGUUAAGUCGACCGCCUGGGGAGUAGGCCGCAAGGCUAAAACUCAAAUGAAUUGACGGGGGCCCGCACAAGCGGUGGAGCAUGUGGUUUAAUUCGAUGCAACGCGAAAAACCUUACCUGGUCUUGACAUCCACAAAAUUUUUCAGAGAUGAAAAAGUGCCUUCGGGAAUUGUGAGACAGGUGCUGCAUGGCUGUCGUCAGCUCGUGUUGUGAAAUGUUGGGUUAUGUCCCGCAACGAGCGCAACCCUUAUCCCCUGUUGCCAUCGGUUAAGCCGGGAACUCAGAGGAGACUGCCGGUUAUAAACCGGAGGAAGGUGGGGACGACGUCAAGUCAUCAUGGCCCUUACGACCAGGGCUACACACGUGCUACAAUGGUGUAUACAAAGAGAAGCAACCCUGUAAAGAUAAGCAAACCUCAUAAAGUACAUCGUAGUCCGGACUGGAGUCUGCAACUCGACUCCACGAAGUCGGAAUCGCUAGUAAUCGUGGAUCAGAAUGCCACGGUGAAUACGUUCCCGGGCCUUGUACACACCGCCCGUCACACCAUGGGAGUGGGUUGCAAAAGAAGCAGGUAGCUUAACCUUAUUUUUUGGGAUGGCGCCUACCACUUUGUGAUUCAUGACUGGGGUGAAGUCGUAACAAGGUA
RNAcentral lists this ribosomal RNA (1517 nucleotides) under Buchnera aphidicola. RNAcentral describes it as "bacterial SSU rRNA". It matches the Rfam family "Bacterial small subunit ribosomal RNA". The record is from RNAcentral. Lineage: Bacteria; Pseudomonadati; Pseudomonadota; Gammaproteobacteria; Enterobacterales; Erwiniaceae.